AAGCGCGUGGUUGAGCAGGGCCCGCAUGCUGGGGCUGUCGUCUACAGUCAGGAUUCGGGUGGUCUGGUUCAUGGUCAGGCUCGCUUG
RNAcentral lists this transfer RNA (87 nucleotides) under Novosphingobium sediminis. RNAcentral describes it as "tRNA-Asp". The record is from RNAcentral. Lineage: Bacteria; Pseudomonadati; Pseudomonadota; Alphaproteobacteria; Sphingomonadales; Sphingomonadaceae.